Molecule: ribosomal RNA, 427 nt
Filed under: uncultured bacterium
Lineage: Bacteria
Description: bacterial SSU rRNA
Rfam family: Bacterial small subunit ribosomal RNA
Source: RNAcentral
UGGGGAAUAUUGGACAAUGGGCGCAAGCCUGAUCCAGCAAUGCCGCGUGUGUGAAGAAGGCCUUCGGGUUGUAAAGCACUUUUAUCUGGAGCGAAAUCUGCAGGGCUAAUACCCAUGCAGCCUGACGGUACCAGAGGAAUAAGCACCGGCUAACUUCGUGCCAGCAGCCGCGGUAAUACGAAGGGUGCAAGCGUUACUCGGAAUUACUGGGCGUAAAGCGUGAGUAGGUGGUUUCUUAAGUCUGCUGUGAAAGCCCUGGGCUCAACCUGGGAACUGCAUUUGAUACUGGAUCACUAGAGUGCGGUAGAGGAUAGUGGGAUUCCCGGUGUAGCGGUGAAAUGCGGAGAGAUCGGGAGGAACACCGAUGGCGAAGGCAAUCCCCUGGGCCUGCACUGACGCGCAUGCACGAAAGCGUGGGGAUCAAACA